This is a non-coding RNA of Maylandia zebra (zebra mbuna), 1290 nucleotides long. The record is from RefSeq and is a predicted model, not a curated record. Lineage: Eukaryota; Metazoa; Chordata; Actinopteri; Cichliformes; Cichlidae.
GGUCUGUUGUUCAUUGUUAUACACACAUUGCAAAUGUGCUUAUAAGGAGCUGGCACUUAGUCUGUGAAGGUCAAAAGCUUCAUCCGACAACGGAUCGGAUUGAUAUAUUGGAGCUAUUGACUUCACGUGCAGAGGGUUAAGUGCAUGCACGCUUACACACAUAAGCAUGGCAUAGGAUUGGAAUAAACAAAGUCAACAACAUUAGGUUAGGAGAGCCAGCGCAGGAGAGGUGUUGGCUUUCUGUCUCUUGCAGAGAAGGGAACAGACACCAGACGGGGACACGGAGAUAUGGGGACCCUGCACAGCAACUGGGGUCAAGUGUCAUGGCCUUGGGGCUCCUUGAGAAGAUGGAUCCCAUAACCACAGCGAUAACCAGGAAGGGGUUGGCGAAAACUAGGAACACCAGAGACCAACGAGAUCUGUGUAACGACUGAAGGGUGGUCUAACCCCGGAAGUCGAAGAAAGAAGAAUCCGAGGGCGUUUCUUCACUCCAAGAGGAGGUGGUAAAGGGGCCUGAAGCGUGACAGGCUGAAACUCGAGUCUGAAGCUAAAAGAACAGCUGGGUUGUGGGAUAAUUGGAAAACAACGGAGGUGUUGGGGUUGAUAAGUGUCAUACCGUGUUUGUUUGGUUUGGAGACAAAUCCUGGUGUAAGUUGGGCUGGCAAGCCAGCCCAAAGAGGAGGAAUGUGACCAGGAGAUAUUUUAUUUUGUAUUUUUAUGAUCACAGUUAUAAUUAGAAAUAUCAAUCAUUAAUCAUUUACCAUUGUGGAAUCUGAUGACAGUAUAAUCUUUGUUUUAUAUCUAUGGUAAUCUGAGUAAAGAUUAAUGUAUGCAGGUUAUCAUCAUUGUACUCAAGUCUCAAAUGGUAUCCACAGCAUUGUAUUCACCGUCCAUAACUGGAGGGUCUAGCAGGACCUUGUUCUAAUUCAUUUGCAGGCCUACAUCAGAACAUGCACAUAGAGAGUUAUGUAAACACGCACGUUCACCCUUAUUUACACAGGGAGGUCAUGUCAGGACAUUCUCUAGUUGGACACACAGGCUCACCGAACUGCACAACAUGACAUGUCACACACUUGGUUUUCUCUAAAGUAUCAUCUGAUGUUUGUAUAAGGAGAACUUUGGACUAUGGGGAGACUGUUAUCAUUUCCAGUAAGGUCUAACUGUGUGAUGUCAUCAUGGGUUACAUAAGGACGGGGAGCUGUCCACUCUUUGGAGAUCUGUGGCUGUACGCUUGUCUUCCCAUGCUUCUGUCUUAGAAGUGUGUAAUAAAAUCACUAUGUUUGUCACCUA